This 497-nucleotide ribosomal RNA is filed under the name uncultured bacterium. RNAcentral's name for it is "partial 16S ribosomal RNA". It matches the Rfam family "Bacterial small subunit ribosomal RNA", at positions 28 to 507 of the family's 1533-position model. The record is from RNAcentral.
GAUGAACGCUGGCGGCGUGCCUAAUACAUGCAAGUCGAGCGAACGGACGAGAAGCUUGCUUCUCUGAUGUUAGCGGCGGACGGGUGAGUAACACGUGGAUAACCUACCUAUAAGACUGGGAUAACUUCGGGAAACCGGAGCUAAUACCGGAUAAUAUUUUGAACCGCAUGGUUCAAAAGUGAAAGACGGUGUUGGUGUCACUUAUAGAUGGAUCCGCGCUGCAUUAGCUAGUUGGUAAGGUAACGGCUUACCAAGGCAACGAUGCAUAGCCGACCUGAGAGGGUGAUCGGCCACACUGGAACGGAGACACGGUCCAGACUCCUACGGGAGGCAGCAGUAGGGAAUCUUCCGCAAUGGGCGGAAGCCUGACGGAGCAACGCCGCGUGAGUGAUGAAGGUCUUCGGAUCGUAAAACUCUGUUAUUAGGGAAGAACAUAUGUGUAAGUAACUGUGCACAUCUUGACGGUACCUAAUCAGAAAGCCACGGCUAACUACGUG